This 74-nucleotide transfer RNA is filed under the name Camelus bactrianus (Bactrian camel). It matches the Rfam family "tRNA". From Rfam's summary of the family: Transfer RNA (tRNA) molecules are approximately 80 nucleotides in length. Lineage: Eukaryota; Metazoa; Chordata; Mammalia; Artiodactyla; Camelidae. The record is from Rfam by way of RNAcentral. RNAcentral also lists the same sequence under 3 other names.
GGCUCUAUGGCUUAGCUGGUUAAAGUGCCUGUCUCGUAAACAGGAGGUCCUGGGUUCGACUCCCCGUAGGGCCU